UACGGGGGGUGCGAGCGUUGUCCGGAAUCACUGGGCGUAAAGGGCGCGUAGGUGGCCUGAUAAGGGUGUGGUGAAAGUCCGGGGCUCAACCCCGGAUCGGCCGUGCCGACUGUUAGGCUAGAGUACUGUAGGGGCAGGCGGAAUUCCGGGUGUAGCGGUGGAAUGCGUAGAGAUCCGGAGGAAGACCGGUGGCGAAGGCGGGUCUCUGGGCCGAUACUGACGCUGAGGAGCGAAAGCGUGGGGAGCGAACAGG
This 253-nucleotide ribosomal RNA is filed under the name uncultured bacterium. RNAcentral describes it as "partial 16S ribosomal RNA". It matches the Rfam family "Bacterial small subunit ribosomal RNA", at positions 524 to 776 of the family's 1533-position model. The record is from RNAcentral.